GGCUGGCAGGUAACGUUAUUAUU
Molecule: non-coding RNA, 23 nt
Filed under: Arabidopsis thaliana (thale cress)
Lineage: Eukaryota; Viridiplantae; Streptophyta; Magnoliopsida; Brassicales; Brassicaceae
Source: RNAcentral